RNAcentral lists this ribosomal RNA (484 nucleotides) under Clostridioides difficile. RNAcentral's name for it is "partial 23S ribosomal RNA". It matches the Rfam family "Bacterial large subunit ribosomal RNA", at positions 2336 to 2819 of the family's 2925-position model. Lineage: Bacteria; Bacillati; Bacillota; Clostridia; Peptostreptococcales; Peptostreptococcaceae. The record is from RNAcentral.
AAUCGUACGUAGAGUGUAAAGGCAAAAGAGAGCUUGAUUGCAAGACAUACAGGUCGAGCAAGGAUGAAAAUCGGACUUAGUGAUCCGGUGGUUCUGCGUGGAAGGGCCAUCGCUCAACGGAUAAAAGCUACCCUGGGGAUAACAGGCUUAUCUCCCCCAAGAGUCCACAUCGACGGGGAGGUUUGGCACCUCGAUGUCGGCUCAUCACAUCCUGGGGCUGUAGUAGGUCCCAAGGGUUGGGCUGUUCGCCCAUUAAAGUGGUACGCGAGCUGGGUUCAGAACGUCGUGAGACAGUUCGGUCCCUAUCCGUCGCAGGCGUAGGAAAUUUGAGAAGACCUGUCCUUAGUACGAGAGGACCGGGAUGGACGUACCUCUGGUGUACCAGUUGUUCUGCCAAGGGCAUGGCUGGGUAGCUAUGUACGGAAUGGAUAAGCGCUGAAAGCAUCUAAGCGCGAAGCCAACUUCAAGAUAAGAUUUCCCACCG